GAGUUUGAUCAUGGCUCAGGACGAACGCUGGCGGCGUGCCUAAUACAUGCAAGUUGAACGAUGAUUUCUGGUACUUGUAUCAGAAUGAAGAGUAGCGAACGGGUGAGUAACGCGUGGGUAACCUACCUCUUAGCGGGGGACAACUAUUGGAAACGAUAGCUAAUACCGCAUAACAAUGCUUAACACAUGUUAAGCAUUUGAAAGUACCAAUUGGUACACUAGGAGAUGGACCCGCGUUGUAUUAGCUAGUUGGUAGUGUAAUGGACUACCAAGGCGAUGAUACAUAGCCGACCUGAGAGGGUGAUCGGCCACAUUGGGACUGAGACACGGCCCAAACUCCUACGGGAGGCAGCAGUAGGGAAUCUUCGGCAAUGGACGAAAGUCUGACCGAGCAACGCCGCGUGAGUGAAGAAGGUUUUCGGAUUGUAAACUCUGUUGUUAGAGAAGAACGUUGUGUAGAGUGGAAAAUUACACAAGUGACGGUAUCUAACCAGAAAGGGACGGC
Molecule: ribosomal RNA, 505 nt
Filed under: uncultured Bacillus sp.
Lineage: Bacteria; Bacillati; Bacillota; Bacilli; Caryophanales; Bacillaceae
Description: bacterial SSU rRNA
Rfam family: Bacterial small subunit ribosomal RNA
Source: RNAcentral